CACCGAACCCCGUUUCCGUGUCUCCACGUGCUCUCUGGACCAGCCGUGCUUCGCUGCCUGCCCCUUCCAGCUACUCUGUCUUUGCUCUCUGGCCUCCAGUGGAGUGGAGUUGAGUCGGUGGAGGAGGAAGAUCAGAAGGAUAUGGAUGGGCCUGUCCCUAGCAGGGCAGCUCUGGCUUCAUCUGUCAACUUGAUUAUGCAAAGCCUCUGUUUUCAACUGGCAUCUGAGGUGGAUUUCAAAGCCGUGACUCAUGUGUGCUUCAGGCCGAGGACCUGGAGAGCAGCUCUGUCCGACGAGCUCCCUGCACAGGCCUGGCUCUUUGCGAGAAGGUCCUCCAAGGCCCCGGUGGCUCAAUGAUUCACAAAACUCUGCGUGAGUAUGUGUUCAGGCGCUGACGCAACCACACGGUCCAAUUCUGGCAACCUGAGCGGGCAGUUCCGGAGUCCUUUUGAUGCAGGAGAACCGUCUGCCAUCGCUCUGCAAUCGCUCAGAUGACAGGAGUUGAGAAAACCCUCAGAUAAAUGUGCAAAAGUGUAGGUAAUCGACAGGAGAUGGUUCCCAGUUUUUUUUUUUUUCUAAAUGCUUUAGGAUAUGUGCACACAACAGAGCCAUGCAUAGAAAUUGCCAACAAUUCAGGACUGUUACAAUAUGUCCCGGGGGUGGGGUGGGGGGAGUGUGGUUGUGUAUGCGUGCAUACACAGGAUAGAUCUAGGAUAAGGUUUCUCAACUUUGACAUUAGGGAUACUUGGAGCUGGAUGAAUCACUGGGGGGCGGUGGGGGGGGGCUGUCCUGUGUGUUGUACGAUGUUUUGGAGCCUCUCCGACCCCUCCCCGCCGAUGCUCGCAGCACCCUCCAGGUGUGACCACUAAAACUGUCCUCAGGUAUUGCCAAAUGUCCCCGAAGCAAAGUCACCCCCCAGCUAAGAACCAGUAUUCUACAAAGCUGCAUGCCAAAAGUCGGAGCGCUGAAUUCUUCUGGGUUGCACAACUGGGGAAUCGUAAUCGAGAGGGGAUCCACUGGGUUUUCAAAAUGUGUGUUGCUUUGGUCGGGGAGGGGGCGCAUAGUCUAAUGGGAAAGCUUAGGUGCCUUGGAGUAAUCCGCAAACAAUUUAUCAAAGAAGGGUUAGGUUUUCAAAAUCCAGAAGAGUCGUGAACGUCGUGUUCAGGGCGUAAGUGUUCUGAACGCAAAGGGCUCGGUGCAUGGGUUAUUCACUGUGUACUUGGCGAAAGCUUGCAUCUGCAAGGUCCCUGAUGAUCCUUGUUUGUUCAGUCAGGAGGCAGCUUUCCGUCCCACUGGUAAGGAAGGUGUCCUGCCUGCUCUGCCCCCAAUAGUAAGACCCUCGGGGCGAUGCCAAAAGCGAGACAACUGUGCCAUCUGAGUUCAGUCCCUAAGAUCUUAAGGACGCCUCUCUCCACAAACCGCUCCUUGGAAACAUUCCUAUAAGAUUUCGGGAAACCCGUUCAAGAUCAUGGCUCAGGCUGGCUUUGGUCCAGUCCCUGAGGAGAUUGUGAAAAGCCAGGGGACCGAUUAGGGCCUCUGGAUGCUUUGCAAGCAUCCCGGGGGAUUCUGAUGUAACCUUACCCUGUUUCUUGCGGGCCAUCUUCUGCCAGCGUGUGCUGCUAGGGGCCCUCCGUGAUGAAUGAGGGGUGGAAUUGAAACCACGAUCAAAUGCUCUUCCGUGAUGACAAACCACGGCGAGGAGGCUGGGGUGGAGGCCGUACAGGUGGGCCCUUGGCCUUUGGCUAUCUCAAAGAUCGAUCUAGGUUUGGAGUCUCUGUGGGUUGGGCUUGGAGGGGCCCUCCCACACGUGCAAAGCAGCGAGCAAGACCAAAUGUGCUUUGGGGGACUGCGGACCUCCUAUCUGAGCCGCGUGGACGGAUGGCCAGCUGAAUUUGAUCAGGACGACUGAGAUCGGGCAUCCAAAGCCUGGAGGCCUGGGAUUUCUCAAUCACAAAGUAAGCUUCUGUGCCCCAAACCGUGCUGCUCGGAGGAGAGAGGGCUGGGGACACAGGGGCCCACAGGAGCUCUCUGCUCAGUGCUGGGGUGGAUUCCCAUACCCCAGCCCUCGUUCUGCCUGGUCCUGAUUCUCACGUCACUACCCAGAAGUCUUGCCCAGUUCCUGCCACCCUUGAUUUUUGAGCAGCUAUGUGUGCACGUUAGCAAAGCAGACUAGAAGAUCAAGCACGACCCGCCCAGGCGAACCGACCGGCUCAGGGUCUGCUCAGUCUGGCCUCCCGAGAGGCCUGGGCUGGAGGGUACAGCUCUGGUCCGCAAAGGAUGGGCCAGAAGCUCCGGGAACGAACCUCUGCAGAGAAGAGUCUGGCUUUCUGCGGCCAGCAGGGAUGAAGAGAGAAGAGGAAACCACUUAAAAAAAAAUUCAAGUCUGGAACUUAGCAGUAACAUACUAAGGCUCAUUGCUUAGUUCUAACAAAUGUAUAACCUAAGAGGUUAGAGGAAGCUGGAACGAGUUCCCACAGGGAACUUUCUAGGUCCGCAGGCUCGACGUUGGGUUCGUGUCCCCAUGUAGCCGUUUACCAGAAUUCUUCGCAGAAACAGAAUCGUGACAUUCCCCCAACCCUCCACCUCUACUUCCCCGUCUGUAAAAAUGGGCAACAGGGGUCCUGCCUAACGGAGCUGCAAUGGCUUAAAUGGCAUUAAAGUGUUUGUACUUUGCUGGGACACAGCUA
This is a long non-coding RNA of Felis catus (domestic cat), 2687 nucleotides long. RefSeq lists it as uncharacterized. The transcript has 2 exons. NCBI's taxonomy places the organism in Eukaryota, Metazoa, Chordata, Mammalia, Carnivora, Felidae. The record is from RefSeq and is a predicted model, not a curated record.